RNAcentral lists this non-coding RNA (40 nucleotides) under Mus musculus (house mouse). Lineage: Eukaryota; Metazoa; Chordata; Mammalia; Rodentia; Muridae. The record is from RNAcentral.
GACCCAGAUAUAGCUGUCUCUUGUGAGACUAUGCCGGGGC